Molecule: ribosomal RNA, 207 nt
Filed under: uncultured bacterium
Lineage: Bacteria
Description: partial 16S ribosomal RNA
Rfam family: Bacterial small subunit ribosomal RNA
Source: RNAcentral
CGCGUAGGCGGCCGCCUAAGUCAGACGUGAAAUCCCUCGGCUCAACCGGGGAAUUGCGUCUGAUACUGGGUGGCUUGAAUCCGGGAGAGGGAUGCGGAAUUCCAGGUGUAGCGGUGAAAUGCGUAGAUAUCUGGAGGAACACCGGUGGCGAAGGCGGCAUCCUGGACCGGCAUUGACGCUGAGGCGCGAAAGCCAGGGGAGCAAACG